CGUGUAGGCGGCCCGGUAAGUCUGCUGUGAAAACCCGGGGCUCAACCUCGGGCGUGCAGUGGAAACUGCCGGGCUAGAGGGCGGCAGAGGCGAGUGGAAUUCCCGGUAUAGCGGUGAAAUGCGCAGAUAUCGGGAGGAACACCAGUAGCGAAGGCGGCUCGCUGGGCCGUCCCUGACGCUGAGACGCGAAAGCUAGGGGAGCAAACA
Molecule: ribosomal RNA, 207 nt
Filed under: uncultured bacterium
Lineage: Bacteria
Description: partial 16S ribosomal RNA
Rfam family: Bacterial small subunit ribosomal RNA
Source: RNAcentral